AGCUCAAAUUUAAAAUCUGGCAGUCUUUGAUUGUCCGAGUUGUAAUUUAGAGAAGUGUUACCCGUGUUGGACCGUGUACAAGUUUCCUGGAAUGGAACGUCAUAGAGGGUGAGAAUCCCGUCUUUGACACGGAUCCCAAUGCAUUGUGGUAUACUUUCGAAGAGUCGAGUUGUUUGGGAAUGCAGCUCUAAAUGGGUGGUAAAUUCCAUCUAAAGCUAAAUAUUGGGGAGAGACCGAUAGCGAACAAGUACCGUGAGGGAAAGAUGAAAAGAACUUUGGAAAGAGAGUUAAACAGUACGUGAAAUUGCUAAAAGGGAAACGCUUGAAGUCAGUCGCGUUGUCCAGGGAUCAGCCUUCCUUUUGGUUGGUGUACUUCCUGGUUGACGGGUCAGCAUCAGUUUUGACCRGUGGAUAAGAGUGAGAGGAAUGUGGCAUCUUCGGGUGUGUUAUAGCCUUUUAUUGUAUACAUYGGUUGGGACUGAGGAACUCAGCACGCCGCAAGGCCGGGUUUUUAACCACGUUCGUGCUUAGGAUGCUGGCAUAAUGGCUUUAAUCGACCCGUCUUGAAACACGGACCAAGGAGUCUAACAUGCCUGCGAGUGUUUGGGUGGAAAACCCGAGCGCGUAAUGAAAGUGAAAGUUAGGAUCCCUGUCGUGGGGAGCACUGACGCCCUGUCCAGAGCUUUUGUGACGGUACAGCGGUUGAGCAUGUAUGUUGGGACCCGAAAGAUGGUGAACUAUGCCUGAAUAGGGUGAAGCCAGAGGAAACUCUGGUGGAGGCUCGUAGCGAUUCUGACGUGCAAAUCGAUCGUCGAAUUUGGGUA
RNAcentral lists this ribosomal RNA (824 nucleotides) under Collybia cf. brunneola. Its description in RNAcentral is "partial large subunit ribosomal RNA". The record is from RNAcentral. Lineage: Eukaryota; Fungi; Basidiomycota; Agaricomycetes; Agaricales; Clitocybaceae.